This 1734-nucleotide long non-coding RNA is filed under the name Homo sapiens (human). RNAcentral's name for it is "HSALNT0308092". Lineage: Eukaryota; Metazoa; Chordata; Mammalia; Primates; Hominidae. The record is from RNAcentral.
AGAAGGAGUUGAGUGAUGGUAGAUAUCAGGCCCUGGUCUGCGGCUUGGAAGUUUCCUGUGAAUAAGAAAAACAUCAUCGCUUCUUGAGUCACAAGGAUGAUAGGAUGAGAAAAAGAAAGGACAAAGGCACCAGAGGAGGUAAGAACAUAUGAGAGGCAGGCUGAGACCAAUUUUCUACCAGGCCAGCUAAUUCAUCACAAUGACAAGCUAUGGGUCAUAUGCUUUCAGGAACCAGACACUGGAACAUGUCGUCUGAUGUACAUCACACCAAAACAAAGAAGGCAUUAGUUUACUGCCUGUAAAGAGAGCAGAUCAAGGCUGAGGAACAGACAGAAGUCAGCAGACGUCCUGGAAAUGUCACCAAUCUUUUCUGAGAAAAACAAAGGAACCACUUCUUGGUUACCAGAGAAAUAAAAAAAGAAUUGGAAAGCCAAUGUCCAAUUAUUUACUAAAACAGAAUCCACUGGAGAGAAAUGCAAAGGCAGGUAAAAAGGCAAUCUCUUAACAUGAAAACUCACAACUGUAAAAUGAGAACCUAAACUAUACAGCGACAAACUCAGGAAAAAGUCUCCAGCUACUGCUGUCUCUCAGACUCUCACAGUAUGUGUAACCACUUCCUCCUCUGCACGGAAUCACCCCAGAAGAUCAACUCUACUAGAUCAUUUGAGGACAAUGAACAAAGUCUCAAGACUGAAUUCCCACAGAAAACAUUCUCAUGAAACCACCCAAUAUUCUGGUGAAGUUAAAGAAGGGCAUGUGUUCGGAGACAACCAGAAGCAGCAAUGCUCAAAACCACAAAACUCUGGAUUGCCGACUCUGCACAUCCUGGUUCCUCUAGAUACAGUUCAGUGGCACAUUCACAAAUAAACGUUUUCAAAAACUGCCCUCAGGCAGUUCUAGAGAAAUGCUUUGACUUGCCUAAUGGUAUAAUGUCAAGAAAGGAAGACGAGCACUGAUCAUUCAUACUCAUUAUUACAGUCACAGGGCACUGUCUGACUUGACAGAUACAGCCGAGCAGUUAAAAGGUUAUGGGAAUUUAAGUCCAUUAUGGUCAUACGAUUCUUAUGGACCCAGAGAUAUGAAAUUAAUCAGCCACAUGUGUAGGGACAAAGUUUGUCAUAAAUAGAUAUAAGUUAUCUGCAUGCUAAGAACUUAGUUACUUAACUCUGUUUCCUCAUGUUAAUAUAAACAUAAUUAUAGAAUGCAAAUGAAAUACUUAGCCUGGAGCCUAUUAUAUAGGAAGCACUCAAUAAUUUCAAACUAUUGAGUAUAUUAUUAGAUAGGCUCCAUAAUUAUUUAUUCCUUUUUCAACAGACAGUAUGAUCUAUUGAAAAUAAAGCCAAACUAGAUUUCUUUGACCCACUCCUUUUUCUGUUUGUAUUGUUGGCAAGUUGUUCUAAAUCAACUUGCCAACAUACUAUUAACAUGUUAUUAACAUAGAAGGGAUGCUUAUUUUGUUUGCUUUGUAAGAAAUGCUUCUGAUUCAGUAACUGGGCAAUUUAUUUAAAUAUAAGUAAAAAGCAGAUUUUAUUAAAAACUACUUUGUGCUAUCAUAAAUAACUCAUUGUUCUCUGUGAUUCAGAAGUGGAUUUAUUAUUCUUUUGGGGUUGGGGAAGGCACUGAGACUGGUUUCAGCACUGAUAUUUUGCUUUGGUCCACAGACAGUCCAAGUCUAAUGAGUUACUAAAGGAAAAUGACAUUUUACUGAACUGUUUUCUUCAUAAAUAUAACAGA